UAGCAACAUCUACAUUCUGUCAAACGUUCGCUGACGUAAAAUUUUUUCACUUCACAAAUCUUUGUUUUCACGACGAGAAAUCUCAGACGUCCGCAGUUUAAGCCUCAACGGCAGCGCGUAGCGCGUGAUGUGAUAGUGGCACCCAUGUCGGACAUGGAGGGCAAAGGCCAGGAGGCCAUGACCGAACAGAGGAGGCCAUUUUUCUACCCAGACAGCAGCAGCGAUACCGAGGAGUACAGAAGAGACAACGAGGAUAGGAGAAAGAGGUUGUCUAAGAGGAAUUUGCCUCCUAUGAGGGCGCGUUUGUCUUCUGCGAGCAUGCCUCCGAAGAACCAGGCAGCCACGCCGCUGCCUUCCACGUCGGCAGCUCAGGAUCCGCCUCGUAAUGGGAAGCAGCUAUGUGAAGAUAGGAUUACAUUGGUGGUAGAUAAUACUAGGUUCGUGGUAGACCCAGCGCAGUUCACAGCUCAUCCAAAUACGAUGCUUGGCAGGAUGUUCAGUUCAGGUCUAGAAUUCACACAUCCCAAUGAGCGAGGAGAGUAUGAGGUGGCUGAAGGUAUCUCGGCAACAGUGUUCCGAGCCAUUCUGGAGUACUACCGGGGCGGAGCUAUCCGUUGCCCGCCAGCGGUGUCUGUGCAGGAGCUUAGAGAGGCCUGCGACUAUCUGCUGGUGCCGUUUGAUGCUGAUACUGUUAGAUGCCAGAACCUCCGAGGCCUGCUCCACGAGCUCUCCAACGAGGGAGCCCGGAGGCAGUUCGAGAACUUCCUCGAGAAGCUCAUACUCCCGCUCAUGGUGCAGUCAGCCCGGCGAGGUGACCGCGAGUGCCACGCUGUGGUACUGCUAGAUGAUGAUGCGGUGGAGUGGGACGAGCAGUAUCCCCCGCAGAUGGGGGAUGAAUACAGUCAGACCGUGCUGUCCACACCGCUGUAUAGGUUCUUCAAGUAUAUUGAGAACAGGGACGUGGCGAAGCAAGUGAUGAAGGAGCGAGGUCUCAAAAAGAUUCGUCUCGGCGUGGAGGGAUACCCGACAUACAAAGAGAAAGUUCGUAAAAGGCCCGGGGGCCGAGCCGAGGUGAUCUACAACUACGUGCAGCGUCCUUUCAUCCACAUGUCCUGGGAGAAGGAAGAGGCAAAGAGCCGGCACGUGGACUUUCAGUGCUUCAAGUCCAAGAGCGUGACCAACCUGGCCGAGGCCACCGCCGACCCGGUCAUGGAGCUCGAGAACAGGGUGCGCGAGCUGGAGGUGGAAGUCCAGCCCGAGCCUCCAGCGGAGCUCCCAGCAGAAGAAGAGCCGGCGCAGUGACCCGCUCGUACCGCGCUAGCGCUCCUAGCUAGCUUCUGUUGGCACUACGCCUGACGGAGUAUCACUCUUAUACCAUGUUAUACCAGUCUCAUACAAAGGAGUAUCACCCGUAUACCAUGGAGACCACUGUGUACACUAGUAGGUUGGCUUAUAAGAGUCCUUAGCUACAGUGACCCGCUCGAACAGCGCGAGCGCUCCUAGCUAGCUUCUGUUGGCACUACGCCUGACGUUAUA
Molecule: RNA transcript, 1536 nt
Organism: Cydia amplana
Lineage: Eukaryota; Metazoa; Arthropoda; Insecta; Lepidoptera; Tortricidae
Gene: mri
Gene name: BTB/POZ domain-containing protein 10
Exons: 7
Source: RefSeq, a predicted model, not a curated record